RNAcentral lists this long non-coding RNA (1073 nucleotides) under Capra hircus (goat). RNAcentral describes it as "lncRNA (ENSCHIG00000001450.1)". Lineage: Eukaryota; Metazoa; Chordata; Mammalia; Artiodactyla; Bovidae. The record is from RNAcentral.
GCCGUCUCCCAGCGCUGGGGUGGCCUCGAGGACCGCUCCUCUCCGGAUGGGGCGCGACCUCGAGAAGGAGAAGGGCGCAGCGGCGCGAGGAAGGUGGGGCCGCCGCGACCGGGGACGAAGGCCCCCAGAGCGGGAGGUCCCGGAGCCAGGCACGCGGGAGGGGGCGGGCGCGGGGACCCAGCCGCCGGGAAGCCGCCGCCCCGCCCCGCCCCGGGCCGCGGGUCCGCCGGCUCGCCAGCCGCGGCGCAGGCGUGUGCGGGCGGGGGCAGCGCGGCCCUCCCCGCUAGCCGAGCGGCGCUCCCGCCCCGUCGCCUCGCGCCCGCGCCGCCGAGCCCGGCCAGCACCGUCGCGGCACCAUGCGGAGGCACCUCUCCCCUGGUCUCUUUACUACAAGCCUAGCAGAGCAGUGAGAAGACUCUUGAGAGUCCCUUGGCCUGCAAGGACAUCAAACCAGUCAAUCCUAAAGGAAAUCAGUCCUGAAUAUUCAUUGGAAGGACUGAUGCUGAAGCUCCAAUACUUUGGCCGCCUGAUGCAAAGAGCCGACUCAUUGGAAAAGACCCUGAUGCUGGGAAAGACUGAAGGUAGGAGAAGGGGGUCCAUAGAGGAUGAGGUGGUUGGAUAGUAUCACCAACUCAAUGCACAUGAGUUUGAACAAGCUCUGGGAGUUGGUGAUGGACAGGGAGGCCUGGCGUGCUGCAGUCCAUGGGGUCACACAGAGUCGGACAUGACUGAGUGACUAAACUGAGCAGAGCAGUAGCCUCCUAGCUGGUAACUGUUUCGUUUGUGUUAAUUUAUCUGGUCAUGCCACGUGGCAUGUGGGAUCUUAGUUCCCUGACUAGGGAGGACUUCCACCUCUCUGGGGUGGAAGUGCAGAUUCUUAACCGCUGGACCACCAGGAAAGUCCCGGGGUUGUUAAAUGAUAUUCUCCACAAAAAUGCAGAACUCUAUGAGGAGCAGAGUUUUUCUGUAAAGAUAUGUCUUUCUCACAGUGGAACAGCCUUUUCAUUUAUUAAAGGACACUUAAUAACCUCAGAGCAUUUGCUUUUGGAUUACAUUACUGGCUUGGAGAGCUA